AGUCUCCCACCUCCCCCUCCAGGUCUCCUCCUUAAUGCUUCCCGGGGCCAGCAGCUCUCAGGUGGGACUCCUUACCCGGCUCUGCAGGUGUUGGCAAGCCUGGGGGGGGGGGGGUGUGACAUAUGGCUCACUUAAUUGACAGGGAUACAGGAGACAGCAAGCAGACCCGGGCCGGCUUCAGGGACAAGCGAUCUGGAGAACGUGGUUCCCUGUCAGGGACCCCAGGGGCUCACCAACACUGUGAGCCACCACACCCCUGCACUGCUCCUCCCCACCCCUGCUGCUGAGGGAGGUCAUGGGGAGGCGGUGACCUCAGGUUGACCCUUGAACUGGCCUCCAGUAAUGGGCGGCUCCUCCCCCCUCCUUCCCGUUUGGAACAUGCGCUCUCACCCCAUGAUGCUCCCGCAGUGGGAGCAUUUCCAAGGCUGCAGCCCUGAGAGGCAGUGAUCUCACGCGCUAAGGCCUCUCUGGAAACUCUGAAGAUCCUUCCGGCAGGUGGGAGACUCCAGGUCCUGUGGCCAAGACAAGCCUGAGUUACCUGAUGGUCCAAAGAAGAUCUCCAGCUAGAAAGAAAGGAGAGUGGGUCUUGUGUCUGCUUCUCUAGCUAAGACCUAGAAAGACUGUCUUACCUAAGUCACCUGCCAUUUCUUGACUGUGCAGGACAGUGAUGUCAGCUUCUGAGUUCCAUCUUUUUGGAGGAGCUCAGAGUCUACCCGCAGGAACAGAUGGGUGAACAGACCACUGUGAUGUCUGCUUGAUAACAAGCUUGCAAGAUUUAACCUUUCUGCGAAAUGUAAUCAUGGAAUCUUGGAAACCUCUUGGGCCUCCAGUUCUCACUCUUCAGAUACAGAGGAUGUGAGUUGCACCCUGAGCCCUCUCGCUCUCAGCUGAGUGAAGCGUGCUUCGCUAGGUUUACUUGCAACUGACAUGUUUUCUGGUGAAGAAAAUCGUGAUGGCAAAGUCUGUGCAGAGGCACGACACUGAAGAGUCUGAAAUGACACCCGAUUUUGAGAAGGAAAGAUCAGCACAUCCACUGCCACUGUUUUCCAGUCAACAUGGCAGACGGUAGCUGCCAGUCAGUCAUCAACUGUCAUAUCCACCCAACAAAGCAUCCCAGUUGGUUCAAGUCUUUUGGUCCCCAUCUCUGGCUGGCUGGAUCAGGAGUCCAUUCCUGGGUCAUCGACUGUGGGGCAUGGGGAGGAGGCCGGGCCAUGAUAUGUUUUUCCUGUGGCUCUUUUCACCGCAAUCGGUUGGACCAGGGGCCUGCGGAAGAGUGAGCAUUUAUGAGGAGGUCAGGACCACUGGUAUUACAAUUGGUAAUUCACUGUCCAUUGAGUCAACAACACUGGAAGAGGUGCUGAGUAACCAGAAAAAUAGGCAGCCAGACAGUCAUAACCAACACUGUUGGGAGAGAGGAGCAAUCCCACAGGUAAACUUGAGCCCCCUGCAGUGGUGAGCAGAGGGCUCUGAGCUUUAGUACCCAGGCGUUGCUGACUCUCCAGCAUUUAACAAAAUCCCAGUUGGGACUCUUAACUGAAAAUAUGUGGAAUGAAUACAUGAAUUAUUAGAAAGUGGAGAUACCUUGAGAUGGCUUUUAAAAGAAAGAACUUUAUAGAGGGGGAUGGUUAGUUUAUCUGAGAAGUGUUUCACUGGGGCUGAAUGUGGGCGGGGCCACCGUUUGUAACACUCUUGACCUUGACAGGAAAUAGGCCAGUUGUUCUAGUUGAGCAGCGGAGGAUGCCUAAAGCUUGAAUCAGCACCCAAACCCGCUCCAGGUGAAAAGGUGGGGUCUUUGAUUGUCAAAUUAGCAGACCCAUGUGGUAAGGAGGUUCAUUUCCUUCUCUGAGAUGCAUCCUCACUAUUCAGUUUCUUCUUUGGCUAAAUGUAUUCUCCCUGAAUCCAGUUUGGCUUGGUCAGAUUGAUGUAUUUUAUGUCACAUCAAUUGUUUGCAGUUAGAAUCUGGUGAUUCCUAGAAUUUCUGUGGGUAAACUUGCUUGCUUUAUCUAUUGAAAUUACUAUUUACUGCUUCAGAUGGCGUUGCCUUGGUGAGCAUUCAUGGGUAUUGCGUCCUUAGGGAGGUUUUAGAUUGUAACUAGGGACCAUUCUGAUUGCAAAAUAUACCACCAGAUAUCAAGGGCGUAGAACUAGCAGAAGGAAGACAGGGAUAAGAUUGUUUAUGUGAUACUCCCUGAGAUUCCAUUUUUUCCACUCACAGCUAUGCUUUGAUACAUGGUAGAAAUGGCAUUUCUCUCUUGCAAACCCUUUUAAAUUCUAGUUUGAGUUUUCACGCAUUUAAGAAAUGUACCUAGUAGAUACCAACCAUCAUCUAUUAUCCUGUGAUAUUCACCAUGGGGGGUUGGGAAGGAUUGAGAAUAUUAUUGUCUUCUCUUGGUAGAUGAGCAAGUGAAGGCUUGGGGAGAUUAAGUAACCUGUUCAAGACCACCAAGCUAAUACAAGGAAAUGGUGUUUUCUUGGUGACUACUUUCUCUAUGGUCUCUGGACUACCGUUGUCACUGAGUAGGCACCUUCUACCAGCCAAAUCCCAGAACCAGUCUCCUCCUAGAUCUUUCUCUUUGCUGAAUGGCCCCUUCCCUUUCUUCCUUAACUGUAACCUGGCUCUCCCCAGAGUUAAUUUCUCUGGCAUGGCUAUGUCCACAUGACUUCUCUUUCUCCCUAAAACAAUACAGAAGCAACUAGUCAAACAAACAAAAGACACUCUUUAGAACAGAUAACAUCGAUACAUACCCAUCUCAUGAAUUAAAUUAUUAAAUUAGUGUGAGUUACGUGCUUACCAGCGAUUACCACAACAGAGCUAUCAUCAGUAGUGUUAGAAUUAUUAUUGACCAUAUAUCUUAAAAGUGAUGUAACCUACAAGUCUGGUCAUAUCAAAAGAGCUGCAAUCCUCUUUGGAAAAUAAACAAAGCAGUUGCUUAAAUGCGCAUUGUACAUUUGGAGUAUUUCUUAUUCAGGCAAGCUGGUUUUAUAUUCAUGACAAGCAUUUUCAAUUUUAAUAUGUUUGCUUACAUGAGAUGCAGAUUGUAAUUUAAUGGCAGACUGUUUAAUUAUGCCUUCAUUUGUAUAAAUUGUAAUGUUGCUGCUGAAUAAAUGAAAUAAAAAUCUC
Long non-coding RNA from Felis catus (domestic cat), 3121 nucleotides. RefSeq lists it as uncharacterized. The record is from RefSeq and is a predicted model, not a curated record. NCBI's taxonomy places the organism in Eukaryota, Metazoa, Chordata, Mammalia, Carnivora, Felidae. The transcript is spliced from 6 exons.